GGUUACUGCUAUCGGUGUUCGCCUAAGCCAUGCGAGUCAUAUGUAGCAAUACAUGGCGUACUGCUCAGUAACACGUGGAUAACCUGCCCUUGGGUCCGGCAUAACCCCGGGAAACUGGGGAUAAUUCCGGAUAACGCAUAUAUGCUGGAAUGCUUUCUGCGUGAAAUGGAUUCGUCUGCCCAAGGAUGGGUCUGCGGCCUAUCAGGUAGUAGUGGGUGUAAUGUACCUACUAGCCUACGACGGGUACGGGUUGUGAGAGCGAGAGCCCGGAGAUGGAUUCUGAGACAUGAAUCCAGGCCCUACGGGGCGCAGCAGGCGCGAAAACUUUACAAUGCGGGAAACCGUGAUAAGGGGACACCGAGUGCCAGCAUCCUAUGCUGGCUGUCCGGGUGUGUAAAAUACACCUGUUAGCAAGGGCCGGGCAAGACCGGUGCCAGCCGCCGCGGUAACACCGGCGGCCCGAGUGGUGAUCGUGAUUAUUGGGUCUAAAGGGUCCGUAGCCGGUUUGGUCAGUCCUCCGGGAAAUCUGACAGCUCAACUGUUAGGCUUUCGGAGGAUACUGCCAGACUUGGAACCGGGAGAGGUAAGAGGUACUACAGGGGUAGGAGUGAAAUCUUGUAAUCCCUGUGGGACCACCUGUGGCGAAGGCGUCUUACCAGAACGGGUUCGACGGUGAGGGACGAAAGCUGGGGGCACGAACCGGAUUAGAUUCCCGGGUAGUCCCAGCCGUAAACGAUGCUCGCUAGGUGUCAGGCAUGGCGCGACCGUGUCUGGUGCCGCAGGGAAGCCGUGAAGCGAGCCACCUGGGAAGUACGGCCGCAAGACUGAAACUUAA
This 835-nucleotide ribosomal RNA is filed under the name uncultured archaeon. RNAcentral's name for it is "bacterial SSU rRNA". It matches the Rfam family "Archaeal small subunit ribosomal RNA", at positions 21 to 859 of the family's 1478-position model. The record is from RNAcentral.